CUGGUAUUUACAAAGGAAAUUAAAGGUGAAUUGGAAAAGGAGUUGCCACAGCCGUAACACAAAAACGCAAUUACAUCAGAGACUACAAAAUGGCCCAACAGUUAAUUGAUAUUUCUAGCAAAUUGGUACUCAAGUUGGCAUAAAACCUAUUGUCAAAUGAAAGUGAAACUGCAACAAAAAAAAGUAACAACAACUCGCAACUGCUCAAUUAAAUUGCAGCAAAUAGAUACAUGAAAGGAAAAAGGUGAAAGCAAAAGGAAACUAAUUCUUGGACCGGCUAAUUUGCGUCAAAGAAUUGUAAUUAUUUAAAGGUUGAUGGUCAUCAAGUUUCCUAGCUGCUCUACAAUGACACAAAAUAAGUCUUCCCUACACAUUAAUCUUGUGUCUAAUUGUGAUGAUAAUUCAAGUUAAUAAUCAACUAGACAAUAUUUUUUCCUAAAAUGUUUUCUUCCAAGACCUAAUCGCAUUCAAACUCAUUUCAAGGAUCACCUUGACAAAUAUCGGACUUCACAAGUUUUCUUGAAGACUUUUACCUUUUCUUCAUUAUCUUCAUCAUCAUUGUUCCUCUGUUCUGGGCUGUUUCCUUUACCUGGGUCCACCUAAGCCAUUUUUUACCCAUUUUCACCAGGAAUCAUGGCAAUGACAUUCUUUGUUAUUCUGCUUUUUUCAUUCAAUUUUCACUUCUCGGUCUCCACCUAAAAAUGCCGAAAUUUAAACAAUCAACAAGCAACAAUCCUCUUCAUCAUGGGUUUGCUUUCUUCCACUAUUUCAUAAGAAUGUGUUCAAUGUCAAUUUAAUAACUUCUUUUCUUUUCUCUUCUUUUUUUCCAUCAUUUUAUGCAAUCUUCACGCCAACGGAAAUAAUAUCUAAAAACGCCAAGAAGUUGAGAUUUUGAUAUUUCUGAUUUUUUUUGGUGUGAAAAAAACAGUCUAUUCUAAAGAUACAAUGGAUGGCAACAAAAAAGAUGAUAAUUACAGCGGUGAACUGUUAACAUUAAAAGAGGCAACAUUCAAAUUCAAUCAGCUGAACGCUGCAUGUUUAAAUCAACAAGCAAUCGCAUUCAUUGUUAAUUUACUAAUGCCAAUUGAUGCUAAUCUCCUGGGGUUGGACUGCAUCUUAUAAUUGCACUGCAACUUUACCUUUAACAUGGUUGUUAUUGUCAUCAACAUCCUUUGUACCAACAAACAAUGACAAUAAUUACCUUCUGAUUGCUAUUUCUUAGUUGAUUGUAUUGCAAGUAAAAAUUAUCAAACCGAGGCAUUCAAUCAAGUUUCACGUUUGGAUGAUCAAGAUGGAAGCCAAGGAAAGACUGAUUUUUACAUGAAUUCAAAGGAUAUUGAACUUGAGUUGAACUCGUAGGAAUACUUAAUGACAUGAAGAUGAUAACAAGCAAAUUUAUUUUUACCUUCACAAGUAACUUUCAACAAAAAAAGCAAACAACUGAAAAACCAUGAUUUACAUGAAAGUUGACACACAAUUGACAGUUUAUUUUAUGCAAAACAAACAAGGCUGAAACAAAAACAACUAUCAAACCGUAUUGUUAAGAUAAUUUAACUGUCAUGCAUAUCUUUCAAUUACUAUAAUCAACCACCUUAAAGCCCAAACAAUCGCCAAAUGAUGAACUUUGAUGUCGGUCGCGAUUCUGGGCACUUGAUUUUGACCAGCUUAGUCUUCCCCUGUUUUCAUCUUCAUCUUAUCCACGAAUUCCUCAUUCUUGUCUCAAUUCUGUAACAACUUCUUUUCAUGUUAACUAAUUUACCAGGUCAAUAGAGAGUCAAUCUUGUAAAUUGCACCUUUUUCAUAUUUCCAAAUUAAAGAAACUUGAUAAAGAGGAAAAUCUUUUCGCAGAAGGAGCUGAAGAUUUUCAGAUGAUGAUUUCGAGGUUGAUGAUGCACCUAGUAUAAAGAAAUAUUCCGGUCAAGCUACUAACGGGAAGAAAGCAAACGACAGUACGAUAGUGAAUCAGAUGAAUAUGAAGAGGAAGAAGAGGACUCUCAAGAGAAGAACAAAGUCAAGAAAAUAAAACCGCCUAAACCAUCAAAUCUUUUGCAAGUUAAAGUCGAGGAGACUCAAUAAGAAGACCAAGACAAUGAUGACGCGUAUGAGGUAUUAGCUUCAAUAUCCAAACGUCUAAAAGAUUACAUCGUUUUCAUCCAUCCCUCAAUCAUCUCUACUCUUCUCAGCAUUAUUUUCAUCUUCCACCUAGCUUCAAGUUUCAAGUUAAUUGGCAUUCAAUUGACUUUUUACCUUUUCAUCGUCUUUGAAACUUUCAAAGGGAAAAGAAAGUUGAAAAGGAAAACUUUCUUUGGUUGACAAUCAAAGGUGAUCAGAAAGAGGGUCACGAAGAAGAGCAAUAAGAAGAGGCUAAAAUAAUGAGAGAUGAAAAGGAUAAGAUGCUAAAGAAGAUGGAAGGCGAAGAAGAAGAAAAGGAAAGAUAAAGAAACACACAACAACAGACCCACAGUGUUUUGUUGAUUUACAGUGUUGAUACCUGUUGAUAACCUAGGUGCUAGGGGUUGCACUUGUAUUGUUGAUAACCCUUAUGAGUUGGGCAAAAAUUUGCAAACCAGAAUCAAGAGAAAGAAGGAGAAGGAAAAACAACCAUUUUCUUCCUUGAGAAUCAAUAAUCUUUCGGAAAGUGCUAAUGAAGAUGGUUUAUAAUCUCUAAUUAUUGCUUACAUUUAACACCAUAAAUAACACUUAGUGGCAACAGUUAGAUAAUGUUAACAAAGACGGUCAUCAUCUGUAUCUUCAACCAUCUUACCUUUUGAACCAUGCAAUAACUCAAAGCCAUUGAUUAUAACGAUUAUCCAAGGAAAAUGAUGAAGGGAGGUUUUUCAAAAUUCACUAGAAAUUGCUCAAAGACAAUUAUGGCCUAUCAUUUUACCUUAAAAAUUACGCUUCUCUAGCUUACAUUACUCUAUACCAAUAAUCAUUGAACAACGUAAUUCUCAUGAUCACUGUUCAUCUAUUUUUGGAUUUAUGGCAUUUCUCUUCAUCAUUGGUUUCUCCUGUUAAUUGUUACCUUUCACCAAGAUUACUCCAAUAGUUCAACAGUCUCUGUUAUAUAAUAUCGAGUAGGCCUGGCUAACUGUUUUUAUUUACCUCCCAGAUUGUUGACUAAUUCAGUUACAGACAAUUAAUCAACCAUCAGUUUCAUCCGCCAUUAACUUGCUCAGCUUUACAUCAGAUGCUCAUCCUCAAUACCUUGCUUGCUCCUCUAUUACAUGAAUAACAAUUCUGUCAAUUUUUUUCUACUGUUCAACAUCUCAAUCCUGGUCCAGAUUGUGACAUUGGUAAUUUCAUUACGUCUUGAUCUAUUGAACUGACUCAGAAUGGUUAUCAAAAUUAAAUUGAAAAAUACAAUUCAAAAAUUAUUCACUUGAAUGGUUGAAAACAAGGUGCUAAAUUGUUGAAAGCUUUACCAUAACUAAAGUAAUGGAAUCACCAUCAACAUGAUAAUCACAAUUUCCGCAAUCUAUUUAUGAAUAACUUUUCGUCUUAAUUAUACCACUUGUUGCAAAGCACAAUUAUACAAGAAAAGAUGAGCACAAUUGUUAAUCAAAUUAGCCUGAAAAUAAUCAGUGAAUUUGAUGAAAAGAAAAACGGAACCAAAAAUUGAACAGUUGCUGCCCCUUGAGCAUGAAACCAAGAAGAGCCAAAAGGGAUAAAGAUGAGCCUUUUUUACCCGACAAUUGGAUGGAACAAGUAACAACAGGGAAGAUGAAAAUCGCUUCUGAUUAUGAUGAUGAUUGUUCUUCGUUGCCCUGAAGGCUGACAAUUUAGCGUCUUGCAACUGCGAGAUUUGAAACUGUUGCCUGUCUCAUCUGACACAUGAAAAGUGUCAACCUGAGAAACUGAAUCAUCUAAUCACCAAAAGUAAUGAGAUUAACCAAUUUUUGUUUCUUUCUCAAUUGCAAUUACAAAGUUUCAACAAAUAUCCUGAAAGAAAAAGAUUCAACAGAUUUAUCUUCAUCAUCGCACUAAAUCACAAUUAAUACAUUUGAUUGACAAUUUCAUCUCGUUUUGUGUUUCUUGAGGUACAUCAAUUUAAUUAAUUGCUAACGGCAAAUCAAGUUUACUCGCCAUAAUUAAAUGUUACAAACGGAGACGUUUAAUAAGAUACAAAAAUUGUUCAAAUUUUUAGCAAACUUGUUGACAAAUAAUUGUCAAAUACAGACAAAUCAAAAUACAAAGUGAUAAAUCAAUACAAUUGAAAUGUAAUUAUAUCAAAUUUAAAUCAACAAAAAUAGCUGAAUCAAUCAGAUAUCAAGCUCAUCUUAUUCACCCAUUCAAAGGUUAUCAUUAUUCCUAAAUAUAUUGGCAUUCAUUGAGAUUCAAUUAAUGAUCAAGGAGUGUUCAGCUU
Tetranychus urticae (two-spotted spider mite) is the source of this 4366-nucleotide non-coding RNA. Lineage: Eukaryota; Metazoa; Arthropoda; Arachnida; Trombidiformes; Tetranychidae. The record is from RefSeq and is a predicted model, not a curated record.